This 565-nucleotide ribosomal RNA is filed under the name Streptomyces chromofuscus. Its description in RNAcentral is "bacterial SSU rRNA". It matches the Rfam family "Bacterial small subunit ribosomal RNA", at positions 85 to 664 of the family's 1533-position model. The record is from RNAcentral. Lineage: Bacteria; Bacillati; Actinomycetota; Actinomycetes; Kitasatosporales; Streptomycetaceae.
CCGGGGAUUAGUGGCGAACGGGUGAGUAACACGUGGGCAAUCUGCCCUGCACUCUGGGACAAGCCCUGGAAACGGGGUCUAAUACCGGAUACGAGCCCCUGCCGCAUGGUGGGGGUUGGAAAGCUCCGGCGGUGCAGGAUGAGCCCGCGGCCUAUCAGCUUGUUGGUGAGGUAACGGCUCACCAAGGCGACGACGGGUAGCCGGCCUGAGAGGGCGACCGGCCACACUGGGACUGAGACACGGCCCAGACUCCUACGGGAGGCAGCAGUGGGGAAUAUUGCACAAUGGGCGCAAGCCUGAUGCAGCGACGCCGCGUGAGGGAUGACGGCCUUCGGGUUGUAAACCUCUUUCAGCAGGGAAGAAGCGCAAGUGACGGUACCUGCAGAAGAAGCGCCGGCUAACUACGUGCCAGCAGCCGCGGUAAUACGUAGGGCGCAAGCGUUGUCCGGAAUUAUUGGGCGUAAAGAGCUCGUAGGCGGCUUGUCGCGUCGGUUGUGAAAGCCCGGGGCUUAACCCCGGGUCUGCAGUCGAUACGGGCAGGCUAGAGUUCGGUAGGGGAGAUCGG